This 755-nucleotide ribosomal RNA is filed under the name uncultured Omnitrophica bacterium. Its description in RNAcentral is "bacterial SSU rRNA". It matches the Rfam family "Bacterial small subunit ribosomal RNA", at positions 599 to 1328 of the family's 1533-position model. The record is from RNAcentral. Lineage: Bacteria; Pseudomonadati; Candidatus Omnitrophota.
AUCCUUUUGCUCAACAGAAGAACUGCCAGGGAAACUAUUGAGAUUGAGGCUAGAAGGGGAGAGCGGAAUCCCGGUGUAAGGGUGAAAUCUGUAGAUAUCGGGAGGAACACCAGUAGCGAAGGCGGCUCUCUGGUCUUGACCUGACGCUGAGCUGCGAAAGCUAGGGGAGCAAACAGGAUUAGAUACCCUGGUAGUCCUAGCUGUAAACGAUGAGCACUAGGUGUUGGCUCUGAAUAAGGGUCGGUGCCGUAAGAUAACUCGUUAAGUGCUCCACCUGGGGACUACGGCCGCAAGGCUAAAACUCAAAGGAAUUGACGGGGGCCCGCACAAGCGGUGGAACAUGUGGUUCAAUUCGACGAUACGCGAAGAACCUCACCAGGGCUUGACAUGCAGGAAGUAGGAGCCUGAAAGGGGGAUGACCUGUCAAAUCAGGAACCUGCACAGGUGUUGCAUGGCUGUCGUCAGCUCGUAUCGUGAGACGUUGGGUUAAGUCCCGCAACGAGCGCAACCUUCAUCCUUAGUUGCUACCCAGCACUAAUUUCGAAAGAAAUUAGUGCUGGGGCACUCUAAGGAAACUGCCCGCGAUAAGCGGGAGGAGGGCGGAGAUGACGUCAAGUCAGUACGGCCCUUAUGCCCUGGGCUACACACGUGUUACAAUGCUUGCUACAAAGCGUUGCUAAAUCGUAAGAUGGAGCUAAUCGCAAAAAAGCAGGCUCAGUUCAGAUUGGAGUCUGCAACUCGACUCCAUGAAGCCG